ACGAACGCUGGCGGCGUGCUUAACACAUGCAAGUCGAACGGUAAGGCCCCAGCUUGCUGGGGUACACGAGUGGCGAACGGGUGAGUAACACGUGGGUGACCUGCCCGCACUUCGGGAUAAGCCUGGGAAACUGGGUCUAAUACCGGAUAGGACCGCACCGUGAGGGUGUGGUGGAAAGUUUUUCGGUGUGGGAUGGGCCCGCGGCCUAUCAGCUUGUUGGUGGGGUAAUGGCCUACCAAGGCGGCGACGGGUAGCCGGCCUGAGAGGGUGGACGGCCACAUUGGGACUGAGACACGGCCCAGACUCCUACGGGAGGCAGCAGUGGGGAAUAUUGCACAAUGGGCGGAAGCCUGAUGCAGCGACGCCGCGUGGGGGAUGACGGCCUUCGGGUUGUAAACUCCUUUCACCAUCGACGAAGGGUUUCUGACGGUAGAUGGAGAAGAAGCACCGGCUAACUACGUGCCAGCAGCCGCGGUAAU
Molecule: ribosomal RNA, 479 nt
Filed under: uncultured bacterium
Lineage: Bacteria
Description: bacterial SSU rRNA
Rfam family: Bacterial small subunit ribosomal RNA
Source: RNAcentral